GUCCAAUCACCCAUACAAUUUGUUACACUGCGAAAGAUUGGUUCUGCAUAAUGUGAUUUCAAGGAUAUGAAAAGCACACAUUUCCAAACUUUACUUCUGAUCAGUGUUGGGGAAGGGAGGGAAGUACCUGCAUAAUGUGUACAAAGAUCUUUAUGGCCUGAAAACAGUUUAAAGUGCAUUGUAGUUUUAUAGUCCUGUUUACUGGUUACAAUGUAGACACUGCAUACUGUAGUGUUUGCUGGGGAAGGGGCAUUGGUAGCAGGAGGACAUUGGAGGGUAGUAAGCAAGCUAGUAAACCACCUAUUCUAAAAAGAAACAAUACCAACGCUUAUAGCCUCUUCUGUCUGCUGCCCGCACCCUUACUGCCAACUCGCGCUUGCAGGACUUCUUGCUGGGCGGCUCCUUUCCUCAUUAGACUCUCCUCUAGUCUUUAAUCAUUUGAGAAGUUUUUCAAAACCCAUCUCUUCCGAAUAGCCCAUGGCCUCCCAUAGUAACUUAUAUUUCAUUAACCGGUGUCUGGCUCUUUUAAAGUGAAAUACUCCUAUAGAUUAUUGUAAUUUUACUGAAAUUCCACGCGUCAAGAGAUUUAGAGACAAAUUAGGUGUUACUUUUCUCUGUAUUUGUCCUCCGCUUGACGCAAGGCAAAGUCUAAGAGUCAACCCCCACAGCUGUAAGGAGUAGGCUGGGUCUAUGGAGGGGAUCCACCAUAGACCUUAAUACUGUACAGCACUGAAGGAGGAAGCCAAAAAAAAAAAUAGUUUGCAGCACCAGAUUCAGGUAAGUUAACUCACAUUUACCGUCGGAUGACUGAGAAUUCUGCAAUGACAAUGCCGCUUUAAAGGGCCACACUUCACGCUCACCUUUCAGUUUAAAGCCUGUCACUUGGUUGCCAUCCCCUGCUCUACUCCUCGUAUUGUGUUUUUAUAUUCCACCUCCUCUACAUUGUAAGCUCUUUCUAGCAGGGUACUCCGAGUCCUCAACCUAUUCUCAUUAUUUGUUAAAUGUCCCUCUUUAUAAUAUUGUAAAUAUCUGCAGAGUAUGUUGGGGCUAAAUAAAUGAUGAUAAUAAUAAUAAUAAUAAUAAUAAUAAAUAUUAUUAAACAAGGCUGGUUCGUCCCAUAUAUCAUAACAGUAACUAAUUAAAAUGGCAGUCCAACAAUAA
Molecule: non-coding RNA, 1161 nt
Organism: Pelobates cultripes (western spadefoot toad)
Lineage: Eukaryota; Metazoa; Chordata; Amphibia; Anura; Pelobatidae
Source: the annotation of a GenBank genome assembly